RNAcentral lists this ribosomal RNA (726 nucleotides) under Enterobacter cloacae. RNAcentral describes it as "bacterial SSU rRNA". It matches the Rfam family "Bacterial small subunit ribosomal RNA", at positions 801 to 1533 of the family's 1533-position model. Lineage: Bacteria; Pseudomonadati; Pseudomonadota; Gammaproteobacteria; Enterobacterales; Enterobacteriaceae. The record is from RNAcentral.
AGAAGUUCGAUUUGGGAGGUUGUGCCCUUGAGGCGUGGCUUCCGGAGCUAACGCGUUAAAUCGACCGCCUGGGGAGUACGGCCGCAAGGUUAAAACUCAAAUGAAUUGACGGGGGCCCGCACAAGCGGUGGAGCAUGUGGUUUAAUUCGAUGCAACGCGAAGAACCUUACCUGGUCUUGACAUCCACAGAACUUUCCAGAGAUGGAUUGGUGCCUUCGGGAACUGUGAGACAGGUGCUGCAUGGCUGUCGUCAGCUCGUGUUGUGAAAUGUUGGGUUAAGUCCCGCAACGAGCGCAACCCUUAUCCUUUGUUGCCAGCGGUUAGGCCGGGAACUCAAAGGAGACUGCCAGUGAUAAACUGGAGGAAGGUGGGGAUGACGUCAAGUCAUCAUGGCCCUUACGACCAGGGCUACACACGUGCUACAAUGGCGCAUACAAAGAGAAGCGACCUCGCGAGAGCAAGCGGACCUCAUAAAGUGCGUCGUAGUCCGGAUUGGAGUCUGCAACUCGACUCCAUGAAGUCGGAAUCGCUAGUAAUCGUAGAUCAGAAUGCUACGGUGAAUACGUUCCCGGGCCUUGUACACACCGCCCGUCACACCAUGGGAGUGGGUUGCAAAAGAAGUAGGUAGCUUAACCUUCGGGAGGGCGCUUACCACUUUGUGAUUCAUGACUGGGGUGAAGUCUAGGGGGACCCCCCCAAAAAAAAAGGAGGACCCCCCCGCGGUUU